RNAcentral lists this ribosomal RNA (251 nucleotides) under uncultured Bacteroidota bacterium. RNAcentral's name for it is "uncultured Bacteroidetes bacterium partial 16S ribosomal RNA". It matches the Rfam family "Bacterial small subunit ribosomal RNA", at positions 87 to 339 of the family's 1533-position model. Lineage: Bacteria; Pseudomonadati; Bacteroidota. The record is from RNAcentral.
GGUGGCGACCGGCGCACGGGUGCGUAACGCGUAUGCAACUUGCCCUAUACAGGAGGAUAACCCGUCGAAAGACGGACUAAUACUGCGUAUGCUCACAGCUUGGCAUCAAGUGGUGAGGAAAGAAAUUCGGUAUAGGAUAGGCAUGCGUCCCAUUAGCUUGUUGGUGAGGUAACGGCUCACCAAGGCAACGAUGGGUAGGGGAACUGAGAGGUUUAUCCCCCACACUGGUACUGAGACACGGACCAGACUCC